UGGUGGAGUGAUUUGUCUGGUUGAUUCCGUUAACGAACGAGACCUCGACCUGCUAAAUAGUUCGGCGAAUCCUUGGAUUCGUACGGACUUCUUAGAGGGACUAUCGGUGUGUAAUCGGUGGAAGUUCGAGGCAAUAACA
This 139-nucleotide ribosomal RNA is filed under the name uncultured eukaryote. RNAcentral describes it as "partial 18S ribosomal RNA". It matches the Rfam family "Eukaryotic small subunit ribosomal RNA", at positions 1299 to 1458 of the family's 1831-position model. The record is from RNAcentral.